Molecule: ribosomal RNA, 253 nt
Filed under: uncultured bacterium
Lineage: Bacteria
Description: partial 16S ribosomal RNA
Rfam family: Bacterial small subunit ribosomal RNA
Source: RNAcentral
UACGUAGGGUGCAAGCGUUGUCCGGAAUUAUUGGGCGUAAAGAGCUCGUAGGCGGUCUGUCGCGUCUGCUGUGAAAACCUGGGGCUUAACCCCGGGCCUGCAGUGGGUACGGGCAGACUAGAGUGUGGUAGGGGAGUCUGGAAUUCCUGGUGUAGCGGUGAAAUGCGCAGAUAUCAGGAGGAACACCGGUGGCGAAGGCGGGUCUCUGGGCCAUAACUGACGCUGAGGAGCGAAAGCGUGGGGAGCGAACAGG